This 406-nucleotide ribosomal RNA is filed under the name uncultured bacterium. Its description in RNAcentral is "partial 16S ribosomal RNA". It matches the Rfam family "Bacterial small subunit ribosomal RNA", at positions 29 to 526 of the family's 1533-position model. The record is from RNAcentral.
AUUGAACGCUGGCGGCAGGCCUAACACAUGCAAGUCGAGCGAGUGGCGGACGGGUGAGUAAUGUCUGGGAAACUGCCCGAUGGAGGGGGAUAACUACUGGAAACGGUGGCUAAUACCGCAUACCAUCGGAUGUACCCAGAUGGGAUUAGCUAGUUGGUGGGGUAAAGGCUCACCAAGGCGACGAGCUCUAGCUGGUCUGAGAGGAUGACCAGCAACACUGGAACUGAGACACGGCCCAGACUCCUACGGGAGGCAGCAGUGGGGAAUAUUGCACAAUGGGCGCAAGCCUGAUGCAGCCAUGCCGCGUGUAGGAAGAAGGCCUUAGGGUUGUAAAGUACUUUCAGCGGGGAGGCGUUACCCGCAGAAGAAGCACCGGCUAACUCCGUGCCAGAAGCCGCGGUAAUAC